Molecule: transfer RNA, 58 nt
Filed under: Ligilactobacillus equi DPC 6820
Lineage: Bacteria; Bacillati; Bacillota; Bacilli; Lactobacillales; Lactobacillaceae
Description: Lactobacillus equi DPC 6820 tRNA
Rfam family: tRNA
About the family: Transfer RNA (tRNA) molecules are approximately 80 nucleotides in length. Their secondary structure includes four short double-helical elements and three loops (D, anti-codon, and T loops). Further hydrogen bonds mediate the characteristic L-shaped molecular structure. tRNAs have two regions of fundamental functional importance: the anti-codon, which is responsible for specific mRNA codon recognition, and the 3' end, to which the tRNAs corresponding amino acid is attached (by aminoacyl-tRNA synthetases). tRNAs cope with the degeneracy of the genetic code in two manners: having more than one tRNA (with a specific anti-codon) for a particular amino acid; and 'wobble' base-pairing, i.e. permitting non-standard base-pairing at the 3rd anti-codon position.
Source: Rfam by way of RNAcentral
UCGGUAGAGCAUCUGACUUUUAAUCAGAGGGUCGACAGUUCGAGCCUGUCACGACUCA